UUUAGGGCCUCUGCUAUAUUUCUUUCUUUUAUUCCUGCUUACAUGGACAAUUGAGUGAGAUUGCAAAACCAGGUUACUACAGCAUGUGGAAAUCUUAGAUGAUAUACUACAUGAAGUUGAAUUCCUUCCUUGGAGGCUGCUGCUGGACAUCCAAUACGUGGUUUUGACAGCUCCCAGAUCCAGCCUGGAAUAGCACAGAAGGAGUUACAACACGGACCGUGUCUUGAGAACCCUCCAAAUGCCGGGUGCAGUGGCUCACACCUAUAAUCCCAGCACUUUGGGAGGCCAAGGUGGGAGUAUCACCUGAGGUCAGGAGUUCGAGACCAGCCUGACCAAUAUGAUGAAACCCCGUC
Molecule: long non-coding RNA, 353 nt
Filed under: Homo sapiens (human)
Lineage: Eukaryota; Metazoa; Chordata; Mammalia; Primates; Hominidae
Description: HSALNT0028863
Source: RNAcentral